Molecule: ribosomal RNA, 449 nt
Filed under: uncultured Desulfobulbus sp.
Lineage: Bacteria; Pseudomonadati; Thermodesulfobacteriota; Desulfobulbia; Desulfobulbales; Desulfobulbaceae
Description: bacterial SSU rRNA
Rfam family: Bacterial small subunit ribosomal RNA
Source: RNAcentral
GUAUGUGGUUUAAUUCGAUGCAACGCGAAGAACCUUACCUGGUCUUGACAUCCCGGAGACCCUUAGGAAACUAGGGGUGCUUCCAUCUGGAGAAUCUGGAGACAGGUGCUGCAUGGCUGUCGUCAGCUCGUGUCGUGAGAUGUUGGGUUAAGUCCCGCAACGAGCGCAACCCUUGCCUUUAGUUGCCAGCAGUUCGGCUGGGCACUCUAAAGGGACUGCCGGUGUUAAACCGGAGGAAGGUGGGGAUGACGUCAAGUCCUCAUGGCCUUUAUGACCAGGGCUACACACGUACUACAAUGGCCGAUACAAAGGGCAGCGACACUGCGAGGUGAAGCCAAUCCCGUAAAAUCGGUCUCAGUCCGGAUUGGAGUCUGCAACUCGACUCCAUGAAGUUGGAAUCGCUAGUAAUCGUGGAUCAGCAUGCCACGGUGAAUACGUUCCCGGGCCUU